GGGCGAUUAGCUCAGCUGGUUAGAGCGCGCGCCUCACAUGCGCGAGGUCGGGGGUUCGAGCCCCUCAUCGCCCAUCA
Molecule: transfer RNA, 77 nt
Filed under: Gemmatimonadales bacterium
Lineage: Bacteria; Pseudomonadati; Gemmatimonadota; Gemmatimonadia; Gemmatimonadales
Description: tRNA-Val
Rfam family: tRNA
About the family: Transfer RNA (tRNA) molecules are approximately 80 nucleotides in length. Their secondary structure includes four short double-helical elements and three loops (D, anti-codon, and T loops).
Source: RNAcentral